AGAGUUUGAUCCUGGCUCAGAACGAACGCUGGCGGCGUGGAUAAGACAUGCAAGUCGGACGAGACUUUUCGUUGUAGCAAUACGAUGGAAAGUUUAGUGGCGAACGGGUGCUUAACACGUGGGCAACCUGCCAGGAAGUGGGGGAUAGCUCGCCGAAAGGGAAUUAAUACCGCAUGUGAUUAGAGAGGACAUCCCUUCGAAAUUAAAGUCGGGGCAACCUGACGCUUCUUGUGGGGCCCGCGGCCUAUCAGCUAGUUGGUGAGGUAACGGCCCACCAAGGCUUUGACGGGUAGCUGGUCUGAGAGGACGACCAGCCACACUGGGACUGAGACACGGCCCAGACACCUACGGGUGGCAGCAGUCGAGAAUUUUUGACAAUGGGGGAAACCCUGAUCGAGCGACGCCGCGUGGAGGAUGAAGGUCUUCGGAUUGUAAACUCCUGUCAUUGGGGAACAAUGCACAGAUAUUAACUGUAUUUGUGUUGAUAGUACCCGAAGAGGAAGGGACGGCUAACUCUGUGCCAGCAGCCGCGGUAAUACAGAGGUCUCAAGCGUUGUUCGGAUUCAUUGGGCGUAAAGGGUGCGUAGGCGGCGCGGUAAGUCGGGUGUGAAAUCUCGGGGCUUAACUCCGAAACUGCAUUCGAUACUGCCGUGCUUGAGGACUGGAGAGGAGACUGGAAUUUACGGUGUAGCGGUGAAAUGCGUAGAUAUCGUAAGGAAGACCAGUGGCGAAGGCGGGUCUCUGGACAGUUCCUGACGCUGAGGCACGAAGGUCAGGGGAGCAAACGGGAUUAGAUACCCCAGUAGUCC
This 809-nucleotide ribosomal RNA is filed under the name uncultured bacterium. Its description in RNAcentral is "bacterial SSU rRNA". It matches the Rfam family "Bacterial small subunit ribosomal RNA", at positions 8 to 796 of the family's 1533-position model. The record is from RNAcentral.